RNAcentral lists this ribosomal RNA (922 nucleotides) under Sauertylenchus maximus. Its description in RNAcentral is "bacterial SSU rRNA". It matches the Rfam family "Eukaryotic small subunit ribosomal RNA", at positions 39 to 966 of the family's 1831-position model. Lineage: Eukaryota; Metazoa; Nematoda; Chromadorea; Rhabditida; Telotylenchidae. The record is from RNAcentral.
AAAGAUUAAGCCAUGCAUGUCUCAGUAUAAACGAUUUAACAGUGAAACCGCGAACGGCUCAUUACAACAGGUAUAAUUUACUUGAUCUUGAAAGAAUCCUACUUGGAUAACUGUGGUAAUUCUAGAGCUAAUACAUGCCCUAAAGCUCUGACCUCGCGGGAAGAGUGCAUUUAUUAGAUCAAAACCAAGCGGCUUCGGCUGUUUCUGGUAGACUCAUAGUAACUGAGCUGAUCGCACGGUCUUGCACCGGCGACGUGUCUUUCAAGUAUCUGCCGUAUCAACUUUCGAUGGUAGUGUAUCUGACUACCAUGGUGAUCACGCGUAACGGAGAAUAAGGGUUCGGCUCCGGAGAGUUCACCUGAGAAAUCGCGAACACAUCUAAGGAAGGCAGCAGGCGCGAAAAUUACCCACUCUCAGCACGAGGAGGUAGUGACGAAAAAUAACGAGACCGUUCUCUUAUGAGGCCGGUCAUCGGAAUGGGUACAAUUUAAACCCUUUAACGAGUAUCUAUGAGAGGGCAAGUCUGGUGCCAGCAGCCGCGGUAAUUCCAGCUCUCAAAGUGCAUAGAAUUAUUGCUGCGGUUAAAAAGCUCGUAGUUGGAUCUGUGCUGGCCUCCCGGUCCACCUUCGGGUGUGCACUGGUGAGGUUGGCUUUCCUGCCCAUUUUUCGGUCAGUGCCUUUAACCGGGUGCUGGUCGUAGUGGGCAAGUUUACUUUGAACAAAUCAGAGUGCUCAAAACAGGCGUUUCGCUUGAAUGUUCGUGCAUGGAAUAAUAGAAGAGGAUUUCGGUUCUAUUUUAUUGGUUUUAUAGACUGAGAUAAUGGUUAACAGAGACAAACGGGGGCAUUCGUAUUGCUACGUGAGAGGUGAAAUUCUUGGACCGUAGCAAGACGAACUACAGCGAAAGCAUUUGCCAAGAAUG